GGCUUCAUAGCUCAGAUGGUUAGAGCACUCGCCUGUCACGCGAGAGGUCGCGGGUUCGAGUCCCGCUGGAGUCGCCA
This 77-nucleotide transfer RNA is filed under the name compost metagenome. RNAcentral's name for it is "tRNA-Asp". It matches the Rfam family "tRNA". From Rfam's summary of the family: Transfer RNA (tRNA) molecules are approximately 80 nucleotides in length. Their secondary structure includes four short double-helical elements and three loops (D, anti-codon, and T loops). Further hydrogen bonds mediate the characteristic L-shaped molecular structure. tRNAs have two regions of fundamental functional importance: the anti-codon, which is responsible for specific mRNA codon recognition, and the 3' end, to which the tRNAs corresponding amino acid is attached (by aminoacyl-tRNA synthetases). tRNAs cope with the degeneracy of the genetic code in two manners: having more than one tRNA (with a specific anti-codon) for a particular amino acid; and 'wobble' base-pairing, i.e. permitting non-standard base-pairing at the 3rd anti-codon position. The record is from RNAcentral.